This 399-nucleotide ribosomal RNA is filed under the name uncultured bacterium. Its description in RNAcentral is "bacterial SSU rRNA". It matches the Rfam family "Bacterial small subunit ribosomal RNA", at positions 358 to 773 of the family's 1533-position model. The record is from RNAcentral.
GGAAUUUUCCACAAUGGGCGAAAGCCUGAUGGAGCAACGCCGCGUGCAGGAUGAAUGCCUUCGGGUUGUAAACUGCUUUUAUAGGUGACGAUUUUGACGGUAGCAUAUGAAUAAGGAUCGGCUAACUCCGUGCCAGCAGCCGCGGUCAUACGGAGGAUCCAAGCUUUAUCCGGAAUUACUGGGCGUAAAGAGUUGCGUAGGUGGCAUUGUAAGUCGGUAGUGAAAGCGUCCCGCUCAACGGGGUACACAUUACCGAAACUGCAAAGCUAGAGGACAAGAGAGGUAGAUGGAAUUCCCAGUGUAGGAGUGAAAUCCGUAGAUAUUGGGAGGAACACCGAUGGCGUAGGCAGUCUACUGGCUUGUUCCUGACACUAAGGCACGAAAGCGUGGGGAGCGAAC